AAUAAUAAUCAACAGAAAUUUUCAGGGAGGAAAUCCUGCUUGGCCGACGGCCACAGCGUCUGAGUUUCAGGUGUACGUGCUGGAACAGUCGCACUCAGCUGCAUGGGGAAGCCUUGAAAACUGGAGAAAGUCAGUCAGUUUGGGCUGUCCCCUUUUUCCACAGUGGAGGAGUAAAGUCAUGUCUGAAAAGAGCGAGUGUUGUAGGUCACGUAGAGGCAGGGUGAGGCUUUUAAUUUGACAUAAAUGUGAAUAACUUUAGAGAACAAAAAUAGUUCUGAAUAACCUUUACAUCGGGGAAAACUGUUAGAAUUUGCAUCUAUAAGUGUAACAUAUGUUGGGGAAAUAGUAAUUGUAAUGAAAAUCUUUUGACCUGAAUAGAUUGGCAUAGGUCAGCAGCUAAUUAUGCCUAUUUUUUUAGAAACAGGAAAUACAUAACACCGCAGCUGUGAAUAUUAUAAUUACAGACUAAGAAGGCUCUCUGUUUCCCCAGUUUGAAAAUAUUUGUUAUAUAACCACCAUUUCUAAGUCAUUACCCGCAAUACAACAUGGGUCUUUCAACAUACGUUUUACUUGUUUCAAUCAGAUUGUCACAGAGAUCUUAACACCAAAGUAAAAAGGAUAAGACAAAAAUUAUAUUUUAUAAGUAAAAAGGUCAGGCUGGUCAGGUGAUGCAAGGUCUGAAUUUCUGUUUUGCCUUUGGAUUAAAUUCUACUCUGCAGAAAAUAAACCUCUGGAAACAUCAAGAAAACAGCAAACGGGAGAAAUAAUUCAAGAAAUGUUCAAAAAGCUCAGUAAAAAUGCGAUAAAGCUUUUGCUUUAAUAAUUUACUUUAAAAAGUAAACAUACAGAAAUAAAGGUAAACAUUGGCUAAACUUUACAACUGAAAACUUUCUCAUACUUCUUUCAAAUUUUUGUUACAUUACCUCUACAAACUUCCAUGCAUAUUAAUUGACUUUAAUGUGACAGACCCACACAAAGUAGUAUAUAAUUGUGAAGUGAAAAGAUAAUUAUACAGGGUUCUUGAUUUUUUUUUUUUUAAUCAAGUAAAACCCCAAGGAUAUGGCAGUACAUAUCAUAAAGUAUUCUGCUAAAUGUUUCACUGAGCCACUCCAACAAUCAGCCCCACUCAGUGUUUGAGCAUUUAGGUUUCUAUCUUUUUAGCUGGUUUCUUCUGCUGCCUGUUGUUCCUUGUUCUCCUGAGAUUUUCCUUAUGUGUCUCAGUUUUAUUUUUAUUUUUUUGAAAAUUCUGAACUUUCCUUAUUUAUUAAGUGCCACUUAAAAUCCCCCCAAAAGAAAAAUGUUGAUGUAAAGUACCCCUCCAGCUCGCAACACACUGUACAAGGAUUUCUGUUUCCUCUACCAGUCAGUACAUAAAGUCCAAGUACAUAAAAGCACAUCUUUCAUAUUUCUAAAUACAAAAUAAACAAGAAGCAUUUUUUCCCCCUCAGUGCCUCAUGAUUGACACAUUUUUCCAUUUAACUCUAACUGGUCUGUCAUAGUUUCAUAACAAGAUUAAAUUUGUAGUUGCCUAGUGGAAAAUAUUACAUUCAGCAUGUAAACAUUGUUUUUGACUUAAUUUUAGACUGAACAGCAUAAGGAAAGUUACCUCCAGGCAAAACACUGGACAGAAACAUUUCUGUGUGUGUAUGUGCGGUUACUCCAGGGCUUCAUUGUUUCUGCUAUGUAAACACAGAGCGCAGCUGCAGCACUGGACUCUCCUAACCCACCACUCCUGAGUUUCCUGAGCAUGCACAGACACACCCUCAAAUGUACACGCUCGCACCAAUUCACAUAGAUGUGAGUAAGGUCAGCGAAGCUAUUUUUGGAUAAGGCGGUUAAUCACUGUGGUGCAGCCAGCCUAUAAAGCCUGGACGCAUGCUGAAGUCCUCUCAUACUCUACUGCACGGAUUAGACGGCACCGAGUUUAUCCCAGCGUUCAAAGAGCCCAAACUCAAACAUUGAAGCAUGAAAAACAAGAGGCUGCUAAUGUCUCUGCCUCUACUACCCACAAUUACUGAGACGCUGGAGGACCUGCCUGUCCAUCCCUCUUCUUUGCAACAACCUCAGGGAUCCCACUCUCUGGACGACUACAUGUCAAGCAUCCAAGCCCUUGCGCGGCCUGCCAGACUCCAGAAGUCCCCCCGGCAACAUCAGUUCUCAAAAACUGCCCGUGUGUCUUCACGCACAACAAGGACUUCCAGAGCAGCCAGUCUGCCCUCGCACAGCACAGAGGAGUUUUCCCUCAGGAUGAGCAGAGAACGAGACAGUAGGGGCAAAGACCCCGUGGACUGGCUCUUUGGACAAAUAAGGACUUGAAGAGAGCUGCUGCUAUUGUCGGACAUCAUGUGGGUACUUUGCUGGAGCGAGGAAAUAAGUUCGGAAGAACCUCAGGAUGAACUGCUCCGCCAUGGCUCAUGAUAAUAGUGCAAAUGUAACUUAUAUAUUUAUAUUUUUAUUUAGUGAAGACUCUAUGUGAUCUAUGUGUUUACAGGGUUUAAUAUUUUGUUAAGACGUAAGAUGUGGUUUCUAAUAAAAUGAUAAAAUAUCA
Long non-coding RNA from Gambusia affinis (western mosquitofish), 2548 nucleotides. RefSeq lists it as uncharacterized. Lineage: Eukaryota; Metazoa; Chordata; Actinopteri; Cyprinodontiformes; Poeciliidae. The record is from RefSeq and is a predicted model, not a curated record. The transcript is spliced from 2 exons.